UCUAUUUAUCGCACGCGCUACUGCACGCGAUUUCGUCGCAGAAGCUCUUCGCGGAGCUCGUUGUCGGUCCGUCUGGCUUUCAGAGGCCCAUUCAGCCUGGCGGCCCAUAUUAAUCUCCCGAUUCGCCCUUCCUUUUUCCUGGAUUUCCUUCAUUUUCGGCUUCUCAGUUAGGGUUUGCGCCGCCGAGGCGAUUCUCAUUCGCCCCAUUCCUCGCGGAUUCGGAUGUCUCCGUCCCAGCAUCUGUGAAGAUUUUGGAAGAUAAUAUUACUCCUGGAAUAACUAUUGCAAUGGGAUAUGAUACUGAAGCCAAUAUUGACCCAACAGAAAUUGAUUGCAGAGAAUAUUCAAUCUGCAGUUAAUUCCAAAAGGAAGGCAAGAAUGGGUUCUAGUACGAUUGACCAGAAGAAAAGGAAUAAUCCAUUCAAGAGAGGUCUACCAUGAAUUCUGAAGCCAAGCUUUUAUGUUGUGGCACCUCAAGAAUGUCAAAGUAACUGGGUUCUAUGAGAUGAUACUUUUUGCAGUUCAAGUAGUUUACAUGUCUGCAGCUCUGAAAAACUAAGCGUACUGUUUAUUACUCUAUUUGGUUACAGAACUUGUUCUCUUGUUCCAUCUUUCUUAACAUCUGGACCAGAAUUCUGAGAACAUUUGAAAGUGUUCUGUCACUCCAUUUGUAAAUAUUCCAAAAAAUGUUCCAGUAAUUACUUUAGAACAUUUGAAAUGUUCUGUAACUCCAUUUGAAAUGUUCCAAAUAAAGUUUCAAGAAUUA
Long non-coding RNA from Panicum virgatum (switchgrass), 766 nucleotides. RefSeq lists it as uncharacterized. The transcript is spliced from 4 exons. Lineage: Eukaryota; Viridiplantae; Streptophyta; Magnoliopsida; Poales; Poaceae. The record is from RefSeq and is a predicted model, not a curated record.